This is a long non-coding RNA of Physeter macrocephalus (sperm whale), 420 nucleotides long. RefSeq lists it as uncharacterized. The record is from RefSeq and is a predicted model, not a curated record. Lineage: Eukaryota; Metazoa; Chordata; Mammalia; Artiodactyla; Physeteridae. The transcript has 3 exons.
GCCAACGUGGAUGUUUGGAGGCACUGGCGGCCGUUUGGGAUGAAAUAGCGCUCUGUUUCCUUGGUUACAGGUGUUUGUCUUGGCUCUUUUCCGGAAAUCAACAGGCUCCUCUUGGAGCUUGAUGUACACACCUGUGUGUGAUAGACCAGGGUUCUCGGCCUUCCCCAAUCAAUAGAAAUUGGAGACGUUUGUUCAGGUGCAAGCAUUGCAGCACUGCAGGAAAUGGUCCCAGGUCCCAGUCUGUCUCAUGUGUGUACCUGGACUCAGAUAUUCAGGGACCAGUUGUUAUUCAUCUGGGAAUUCUCCAGGAUGCUAGAAAGGUUGGUGGCAUGGAGUAAUACUGACUUUGGUAGACUGGAAAAUGGCCCCGCAAAUAUUUUCAUGCCAUAAUUCUCAGUUUUAUGCCUGUUUACAUUACAU